Molecule: ribosomal RNA, 1360 nt
Filed under: Streptococcus sp.
Lineage: Bacteria; Bacillati; Bacillota; Bacilli; Lactobacillales; Streptococcaceae
Description: bacterial SSU rRNA
Rfam family: Bacterial small subunit ribosomal RNA
Source: RNAcentral
UUUAAUGAGAGUUUGAUCCUGGCUCAGGACGAACGCUGGCGGCGUGCCUAAUACAUGCAAGUAGAACGCUGAAGAGAGGAGCUUGCUCUUCUUGGAAGUUGGAAACGAUAGCUAAUACCGCAUAACAAUGGGUGACCCAUGUCAUUCAUUUGAAAGGGGCAAAUGCUCCACUACAAGAUGGACCUGCGUUGUAUUAGCUAGUAGGUGAGGUAACGGCUCACCUAGGCGACGAUACAUAGCCGACCUGAGAGGGUGAUCGGCCACACUGGGACUGAGACACGGCCCAGACUCCUACGGGAGGCAGCAGUAGGGAAUCUUCGGCAAUGGGGGCAACCCUGACCGAGCAACGCCGCGUGAGUGAAGAAGGUUUUCGGAUCGUAAAGCUCUGUUGUAAGUCAAGAACGAGUGUGAGAGUGGAAAGUUCACACUGUGACGGUAGCUUACCAGAAAGGGACGGCUAACUACGUGCCAGCAGCCGCGGUAAUACGUAGGUCCCGAGCGUUGUCCGGAUUUAUUGGGCGUAAAGCGAGCGCAGGCGGUUUGAUAAGUCUGAAGUUAAAGGCUGUGGCUCAACCAUAGUUCGCUUUGGAAACUGUCAAACUUGAGUGCAGAAGGGGAGAGUGGAAUUCCAUGUGUAGCGGUGAAAUGCGUAGAUAUAUGGAGGAACACCGGUGGCGAAAGCGGCUCUCUGGUCUGUAACUGACGCUGAGGCUCGAAAGCGUGGGGAGCGAACAGGAUUAGAUACCCUGGUAGUCCACGCCGUAAACGAUGAGUGCUAGGUGUUGGGUCCUUUCCGGGAUUCAGUGCCGCAGCUAACGCAUUAAGCACUCCGCCUGGGGAGUACGACCGCAAGGUUGAAACUCAAAGGAAUUGACGGGGGCCCGCACAAGCGGUGGAGCAUGUGGUUUUUCUAGAGAUAGGAAGUUACUUCGGUACAUCGGUGACAGGUGGUGCAUGGUUGUCGUCAGCUCGUGUCGUGAGAUGUUGGGUUAAGUCCCGCAACGAGCGCAACCCCUAUUGUUAGUUGCCAUCAUUCAGUUGGGCACUCUAGCGAGACUGCCGGUAAUAAACCGGAGGAAGGUGGGGAUGACGUCAAAUCAUCAUGCCCCUUAUGACCUGGGCUACACACGUGCUACAAUGGUUGGUACAACGAGUUGCGAGUCGGUGACGGCGAGCUAAUCUCUUAAAGCCAAUCUCAGUUCGGAUUGUAGGCUGCAACUCGCCUACAUGAAGUCGGAAUCGCUAGUAAUCGCGGAUCAGCACGCCGCGGUGAAUACGUUCCCGGGCCUUGUACACACCGCCCGUCACACCACGAGAGUUUGUAACACCCGAAGGAAGGUGCGGCUGGAUCACCUCCUUU